UACGUAGGGGGCAAGCGUUGUCCGGAAUUAUUGGGCGUAAAGAGCGCGUAGGCGGUCCGAUAAGUCGGCUGUGAAAGUCAGGGGCUCAACCCUUGGAAGCCGGCCGAUACUGUCGGACUAGAGUCCGGAAGAGGCGAGUGGAAUUCCCGGUGUAGCGGUGAAAUGCGCAGAUAUCGGGAGGAACACCAAUGGCGAAGGCAGCUCGCUGGGACGGUACUGACGCUGAGACGCGAAAGCGUGGGGAGCGAACAGG
RNAcentral lists this ribosomal RNA (253 nucleotides) under uncultured bacterium. RNAcentral's name for it is "partial 16S ribosomal RNA". It matches the Rfam family "Bacterial small subunit ribosomal RNA", at positions 524 to 776 of the family's 1533-position model. The record is from RNAcentral.